This 216-nucleotide ribosomal RNA is filed under the name Campeiostachys nutans. Its description in RNAcentral is "Elymus nutans partial small subunit ribosomal RNA". The stretch from base 47 to 216 matches the Rfam family "Eukaryotic small subunit ribosomal RNA", at positions 693 to 864 of the family's 1831-position model. The record is from RNAcentral. Lineage: Eukaryota; Viridiplantae; Streptophyta; Magnoliopsida; Poales; Poaceae.
GGGUUAGUAGGUUGGUCAUGCCACUGGUAUGUACUGGUCUCACCGAUUCCUCCUUCCUGAUGAACUAUAAUGCCAUUAAUUUGGUGUUUUAGGGAAUCAGGACUGUUACUUUGAAAAAAUUAGAGUGUUUAUAGCAGGCUCACGCUUGAAUACAUUAGCAUGGAAUAAUGAAAUAGGACGUUUGAUUCUAUUUUGUUGGUUUCUAGGAUCGACGUA